UUCGAAGGGUGCAAGCGUUACUCGGAAUUACUGGGCGUAAAGCGUGCGUAGGUGGUUUGUUAAGUCUGUUGUGAAAGCCCCGGGCUCAACCUGGGAAUGGCAAUGGAUACUGGCAGGCUAGAGUGCGGUAGAGGGUAGUGGAAUUCCCGGUGUAGCGGUGAAAUGCGUAGAGAUCGGGAGGAACACCAGUGGCGAAGGCGGCUACCUGGACCAGCACUGACACUGAGGCACGAAAGCGUGGGGAGCAAACAGG
This 253-nucleotide ribosomal RNA is filed under the name uncultured bacterium. RNAcentral's name for it is "partial 16S ribosomal RNA". It matches the Rfam family "Bacterial small subunit ribosomal RNA", at positions 524 to 776 of the family's 1533-position model. The record is from RNAcentral.